ACUCAAAGGAAUUGACGGGGGCUCACACAAGCGGUGGAGCAUGUUGCUUAAUUCGAGGCAACGCGAAGAACCUUACCUGGGUUUGACAUGGCCGGAUUAGCUCUUGGAAACAGGAGUGACACCUUCGGGUGGAACGGUCACAGGUGCUGCAUGGCUGUCGUCAGCUCGUGCUGUGAAGUGUCGGGUUAAGUCCCUUAACGAGCGCAACCCCUAUCGUCAGUUGCUCACGGGUCAAGCCGAGUACUCUGGCGAGACUGCCGGUGUCAAACCGGAGGAAGGUGGGGAUGACGUCAAGUCCUCAUGGCCUUUAUAUCCAGGGAUGCAAACGUGCUACAAUGGUGCGCACAAAGCGAUGCAAGGCGGCGACGCGGAGCAAAUCGCAAAAAACGCACCCCAGUUCGGAUUGCAGGCUGCAACUCGCCUGCAUGAAGUCGGAAUCGCUAGUAAUCGGAGAUCAGCUACGCUCCGGUGAAUAUGUUCCUGAGCCUUGUACACACCGCCCGU
Molecule: ribosomal RNA, 504 nt
Filed under: uncultured bacterium
Lineage: Bacteria
Description: partial 16S ribosomal RNA
Rfam family: Bacterial small subunit ribosomal RNA
Source: RNAcentral